RNAcentral lists this long non-coding RNA (260 nucleotides) under Lathyrus oleraceus (garden pea). Its description in RNAcentral is "Pisum sativum (pea) long non-coding RNA (PSAT_LNC007352)". Lineage: Eukaryota; Viridiplantae; Streptophyta; Magnoliopsida; Fabales; Fabaceae. The record is from RNAcentral.
UCUAAGUUCAGAACAUGGAUAAGAAUUCCUUGAAUUCUCAGUCAUCAGUGUGAAGGUUUACAGACUUGUUAACUUGUAUUCUGAUCUUUGAAACUUCAUAAGAACUUCUGAUGUUUAAACAUAACCAUUAUGAUUUUUGAACAUAACCCUGCAAAUCAUUUAACAAACUAUUCUUAGAAGUAGUUGUUAGCAGAAAAUAUUAAUCAAUGUUUGGGUUCUUAGUUAAGGACUUUAGGUAUAUCAAAAUAUUUACACCUUCC